UACAGGGGGUGCAAGCGUUGCUCGGAAUUAUUGGGCGUAAAGCGCGCGUAGGCGGCUACCUAAGUCGGAUGUGAAAGCCCCUGGCUUAACCGGGGAAGUGCACCCGAAACUGGGUAGCUAGAGUGCAAAAGAGGGUCGCGGAAUUCCCAGUGUAGAGGUGAAAUUCGUAGAUAUUGGGAGGAACACCGGUGGCGAAGGCGGCGACCUGGGUUGACACUGACGCUGAGGCGCGAAAGCGUGGGGAGCAAACAGG
RNAcentral lists this ribosomal RNA (253 nucleotides) under uncultured bacterium. RNAcentral's name for it is "partial 16S ribosomal RNA". It matches the Rfam family "Bacterial small subunit ribosomal RNA", at positions 524 to 776 of the family's 1533-position model. The record is from RNAcentral.